Molecule: ribosomal RNA, 443 nt
Filed under: uncultured bacterium
Lineage: Bacteria
Description: partial 16S ribosomal RNA
Rfam family: Bacterial small subunit ribosomal RNA
Source: RNAcentral
CCUACGGGAGGCAGCAGUGGGGAAUAUUGGGCAAUGGAGGAAACUCUGACCCAGCAACGCCGCGUGAAUGAUGAAGGUCUUCGGAUUGUAAAGUUCUUUUCUAAGGGAAGAAGAAAGUGACGGUACCUUAGGAAUAAGCCUCGGCUAACUACGUGCCAGCAGCCGCGGUAAUACGUAGGAGGCGAGCGUUAUCCGGAAUGACUGGGCGUAAAGGGUGCGUAGGUGGUUUGGCAAGUCAAGGGUGAAAUCCCCGCGCUCAACGUGGGAACUGCCUUUGAAACUGGCAAACUGGAGUGUGUGAGAGGAUAGUGGAAUUCCAGGUGUAGGAGUGAAAUCCGUAGAUAUCUGGAGGAACAUCAGUGGCGAAGGCGACUAUCUGGCACAUAACUGACGCUGAGGAGCGAAAGCGUGGGUAGCAAACAGGAUUAGAUACCCCUGUAGUC